Molecule: ribosomal RNA, 332 nt
Filed under: uncultured bacterium
Lineage: Bacteria
Description: bacterial SSU rRNA
Rfam family: Bacterial small subunit ribosomal RNA
Source: RNAcentral
UGCGUAGGCGGUUUGGUAAGUCUUGUGUGAAAUCUAUGGGCUCAACUCAUAGUCUGCACGAGAAACUGCCGGGCUUGAGUGUGGGAGAGGUGAGUGGAAUUUCCGGUGCAGCGGUGAAAUGCGUAGAUAUCGGAAGGAACACCUGUGGCGAAAGCGGCUCACUGGACCAUAACUGACGCUGAUGCACGAAAGCUAGGGGAGCAAACAGGAUUAGAUACCCUGGUAGUCCUAGCCCUAAACGAUGACUGCUUGGUGUGACGGGUACCCAAUCCCGCCGUGCCGUAGCUAACGCGUUAAGCAGUCCGCCUGGGGAGUACGGUCGCAAGGCUGAA